This 253-nucleotide unclassified non-coding RNA is filed under the name uncultured Sphingobacteriales bacterium. RNAcentral describes it as "contains 16S-23S intergenic spacer region". It matches the Rfam family "Bacterial small subunit ribosomal RNA", at positions 524 to 776 of the family's 1533-position model. The record is from RNAcentral. Lineage: Bacteria; Pseudomonadati; Bacteroidota; Sphingobacteriia; Sphingobacteriales.
GACGAAGGAUUCAAGCGUUGUCCGGAUUUACUGGGUUUAAAGGGUGCGUAGGCGGAAAGCUAAGUCAGUGGUGAAAGCCCGCAGCUCAACUGCGGAACUGCCAUUGAAACUGGCCUUCUUGAAUACAGUGGAGGUAGAUGGAAUAUAACAUGUAGCGGUGAAAUGCUUAGAUAUGUUAUAGAACACCGAUUGCGAAGGCGGUCUGCUACACUGUCAUUGACGCUGAGGCACGAAAGCGUGGGGAGCGAACAGG